Molecule: non-coding RNA, 99 nt
Organism: Aspergillus leporis
Lineage: Eukaryota; Fungi; Ascomycota; Eurotiomycetes; Eurotiales; Aspergillaceae
Source: the annotation of a GenBank genome assembly
GUCAGUGUGGCCGAGUGGUUAAGGCGACAGACUUGAAUGUCCUAGACAUCCAGCUAUCUGUUGGGUUCGCCCGCACAGGUUCAAACCCUGUCGCUGACG